CGCCAGUCCCAGGUGCCCCCUUGCCCAUCUCCUGCAUGCUGGGGCUGAGGUCUGAGUUAAGGUAAAUGAGCCCUGUUCACCAGGCACAAGGUAUUCUGCUUCUUCAGUAGCAUUAAAAAAACUAUAUAGACUCCAAAAAGGAAAUGAAAUUGCUUCUUUUAAUAUUAAACUUGUAAUUGUUCCUAUUUUUUCUCAAUAUUUGAUGACAGUGAACCAAAGCGACUGACAGCCUUUGUGCAACUCUUCGAGGGCGACCGCAGUGCGGCGAGGAGGAGUGAAGAUUUCUGGAGGCAGAAUGGAGAAGAUGAAAGCGAGCCUCAGAACUAACAUGUGUGCUUUAUUUUUUAAAGAUGGAACAGAGAGGAGGCACAAUUACCUCAGAUUUAGAAGAUCUUAGUUCAAGCCCUGACCUACUGAAGCUUUCCAUACCUCAGCUUCUCCUCCCUAUCUUAAAACCAGGUGCGGUGCCUCAGAUUCCCUGAAGGGAAAGUGGCAAAUUACUGAAGGCUGAGCCUUGGUGACAUGAUACAAGGGAACCGCCAACUUUGGCAUUCGUAAGGAUUUCAGACGGGGCAAAAGCUGACCAGCCAUUACCAUGCAAGGUUUCCAGGAGCUGAACAGUGCAGCCAUGAUCUCAGGAGCUGCCUGCACAGGGCAGUGGUUAGAGGCAGGAGGCUGACAUGGUGAGAGGAUGAUGGAGAAGGAACAGCAGAUAUGGAUUAGAUAUAGAGUGAAUUAAGCAGUGGGACAGAGAGAAGUGUCUGAUCUGGGACUGCAUCAUCUCCCAAAGACUCUACAAAGCGGUAAUUUUUCAGCAUGCCCUAAGGGUAACAGAAAGAAUUACAGACAUCUUCAAACCAUCCAACUCCCACAAGCAUCCUGCACCCUGGACUUUCACUGGAGCAACAAUUGCACAGCCAGUAAGGAACACUGGUGGUUCCUGAGUACUUGGAAGGGUGUUACAAAGCACACCACCAAAGCUUCAGUGGUGUCUGAUGUCCUUGAAGGGAGGAAAAAGCUGAGUGCAGCACCAUCUGCACUCGGCACAAUGGGAAAGAUGACAAAAAAAAAAAAAAUGAAGCCAUAGAGUGGAAAACCCCCAAAACCUACAGAAAACAAAAGCUGAAAGUGAAGAAAACCACAGGAUUUAUUCAAAAAUUUUAUUUGAACUGUCCACAGGCACAGUGAUUGUAUAAACACUAAACAACAGGAACAUAACUGAACACUAUGGGAAAAGAAACUGCUGACAUUUUUACUGCAGGAAGGACAGACCACCAAGAACAGCCUGACUCAAACACCCAAUGUUGGUUCCCACACCAGAGCUGUUUGUGUUGGCUCCAGCACCCAGUUCCAAGCAGAACACUAAGAACAUGCAUUCUGCUGAUGUUUGAAUAAGCCCUGCCAACAAAUUGAUCCCCCAGCAGCCGGGCUGUACGAGAUGGGGUGACAUAAGUAAGUGUGAGAGAGAAAGAAAGUGAAAUGAAAAGACACUCAGCACUCUUCUUCCAGCAUCAGUGUUCAGUGGGAGCUCUUUCCUGUUCCCUUCUUUACAAUGGAUUAUUUCUUCCCCCAGUCCAGGAAAAGCAUAACCCAAAAGGGCAUUGGUGAGCGUGUGUAAUGUACAUGCAGGGGAGACACGGCUGCCCAGAAACAGAUUCCACAGAUGGUAACCCAGAGGACAGCCUAAAUCAGGCAAAUCUCUAAAUAAGGUGUGGGAGACACUUUGUGAAGAAGAGCUGCAUUAACCCCAAGCAGACAAUCCCAGCUGUUGGCUGGGCCCUGCCCAGCAGCCUCCUGCAUUCACCUGGCCACCCUGCUCACACAGGCGCCUGCACAGGGCACCUGCAACCAACAGCUCCCAGCCAGUGCCACUGCCACUCCUCAAACUGCCUGGGAGCAAACCAUGCAUGGAAUCGGUCACAAAGGUAAUAUUACAUUUCUCCCUAGAAAAUCCUCUUCCCUUCUCCCAGAAGGAAGUCACUUGGCAUGGAGGACAACACUGACUUCUGACCACUCUUUUUCAGACACCUUAAUUCUUUUCCUUCUCACACAGAGCACUGGUUUGGUAGAUGAGCUCAUCAGGAUGUGUGCACACCAUGCCACAAAUGCAAGAAAAACCAGAGUGAAUAAUUAAAAAUACAGUAAAUUUAUAAUUGUUUAAAACUGCCAUGCCCCAGUAUAGCCUAUUUCCUUAAAAGAUUUAAUCUUUUCACUAUUUUCAGUCUUUUAAAGACUCUUAAUAUGAAAUGAAACUCUGUACCUUUAGUUGUCAUUUUCCAUCUUGCACAAGGGAACCUUUCCCACAGCAUCUUUUUAAGUCAUAAAUAAAACACCCAACUACUUUCUUUUUCCCACAGAUGAGAACAUUAAAACAUUGACAUUUUAAUCUGAUACAAGAAUGAGUUGUGUCAGCACGCUGCUUCCAGCUACAACAACAGAAAACCCAAGUUUAAUUAAAGACAGAGAGGAGAAGCUGCAUGGUGGUGCCUGAACCAUGGAUGUACAGCAGAUCCUUGCUUGCUCACCAAUUUUGGGCUCAGGUUCCUCUCUGGGCAACUGCUGGUCAGGCAAAAUAUGACUGAAAAGGAAGGAGAGGGAGGACAAAAAACAAACAUUUUCUCAGAUAGGAGAUGCAAAAGGUGAGACCAGAUACCUGAGAUUAACACAGAUCACAAGUAACAGCGUGGCACAAACAAAUCUAAACAAACAAAAAAAAAAAAAAUCUAAGGCUCCAAGCUGCUCUCUUGUGCCCCCAUUUCCCUGCUCCCUUUUAGUGCCUGUGGUAGUCUGUGGGACUCGGACAGUCCCAAGCAGUGCUGUGCUCUGGUCACACAUAACACGGCAUGGCACCAUCCCACAGAGCAGAAACACACCAAGAUCUGAGACCUUUCCCAGCACGUACCACGGCCUGUGAAUGUCCAGGUCCUGCAGCCCCAGGUACCCCAGCUCUGACAGCCCGUCUGCAGCAGUGCCUGGGAAGAGUUGUCAGAAAUCCAGACUAGCUAGAGAUGAUUUCUCUGUCUGUAAAUCCAAAAACAUCACCCCCAAAGCCUCCAGACACUGGUAUGGACUCUGGAGCAAUGAGGAAGAGUUCACAGAAAGCAUUCUCUCCACAUCCCCAAGAAUCAAUAUCCACUUGGUACAGUUGGAUUCUAUUUUUAAAGCUGUUUUUGCAGAUUACCAGAGACAACAGUUUUCCUUCCUAACGUAUAUCUUGGAGAAGAGCUUGCAGAAAGUAGAAAAAAACUACUAUGAAUAUACAGCAAAUAGCACAAACGAAUAACAUUAUAUAUUUAUUAAUUCCUUAGCCUUCCAGAGAAGCAGCAGAUGAUAUUUGACAGGGGACAUGUACUGCAGCAAGCACAGUGCUAAGAGCAGAGCGGGUCUUUCUGCAGUGUUCUGCUCUCCCUGGGAUGUGCUCUAUGCCAAGGGCUGGCACCACAGUCACAGAGCCAGCUGUCACAGCUGAGAAGCACCAGUGUCCUCCUGGCAUAGGACAGUAUUUUACAAAAACCUUCAAGAAUCUGAUGUCAGGACACUUUACAUGACCCUGUAGACGCUUCAUUAAAAAGCCAAACUCUACAGCACAGAAACGAGUAGGAUUGCUGCUCUUGUACCAUUGCAUUUCAAAGAGAACCCUUUUCAAGAGGGUAACAGAAAAAAAGACAUUUAAUAGCAAAUUUUAUGAGAGAAGGAUAAAACCCAGGUAGUUCAACAGUUCCUGAAAUCCCAGUGGUGGUCAAUAAAUCGACUUCUGCUUCACAUUAUAUGAAGAGGCUGUACUUAGCAAAUCACUGUGUAAGCUGCCUCAAUAACAGCAAUCCUGCUAUCAAGUUUACUUGCAAUGAGUCCAACAAAGAAAUUAAUUUCUUAGAUGACAAGAAAAGGUUAUCUAGAACUGGGAAAACACAUGAGACAAAGAUUUCCACUAAUAAAACAAAUAUCAGACUCAGAGCUGAAUUUGAAGCUAUUUUUUCUCUGAAAUAUUUUAAAUCCCUGUAGCCCAAACACUAGAGCUACAAAGAAAACAAAGAAAAUAUCCUGCAAACUGCCCUGCUAAAACACGAGGAGAGCAGAACGAGCCACAGCUCUUUUCAGUACGUGAGUUACUCCCCCAGCUCCGCGCACACUGUUCCUCCAGCGAGGCCAGAACAAGAAAAUAAACUGCAACCCAAGUUCCAGGCUUAAACAAACCUCACUUUGAGCUACCAGCUGAUUUACUCCCCAAAACUUCGGUACAACAUACCUUCCAGAAUUCAGAACAUGCCCUUUGCACAAGUACAAAAGUGUUUCUCAUGACUCCAGUAAGUAACAAAACACACCUUCCUCAUCUCAUCUUUCUGAUUUUAUUGAUCUGUUUAUUCCCAAGACAUUCCACAGGUAUCACCCAUCUUAUUUUCCAGUUAUCAUUUUUUUUCAUAAAUAUUUCCACAAAAGGGCACCACUUUCCUCGAAGCUACCCUUUAUUCCUCUCACUGUAAUACACACCCUUCUGUUAUUGCUCUCAUUUCAUAAUCCUCAUAUUUGUCUAUGCACAUCAAGUGAGCAAACUGACCUGAUUUGUCCACAUGGCCACAGGAAGUCAGCCAAAAACUGAGACAGCACAGAGGUUUGAUUUUGAAGGUCAUUAUAUUAAAAAAUGGACUCCCUGUCUGUGCUGCCCAAAGAUCUGCACCCACAGAUCUUAGAGCAGCUCAGUCCAUCCAACAUGCAGGAGCUCUGAUCAAUCACACACCUGGCACCUGUGCUGGAUGCCUUGGUGACCAUACUGCCCCACUGGAAUCAAGUUCUAGGAUUUGGGUUAGGUGUAAAAGAUUGUUGAAUUUCUCUACUUCACAGCUGCAAAGAUUAACAUCAAAUUUUAAUCGAUUCCAAACCAAAGCCACGUAAUUCACCUGAAAUAAUAACAGGAAGAGAUUUAGUCCAUCAGUACAUCAUGGAUGUCUGACAUCCAUGUGAGCCCAGCUGCCCAAACCAGCGACAAGUCACAUCAGCUCUAGUGCUGCUGUUGUGGCUGCUUAGGCAGGGGACCUCCAGAACCUCCAGAACAGAUUCCUGCAAGUCCCACAGGAAGACAAGGACUCUGCUAGGACAGUUACCUCCAGCCACUCACUCAAGAUGUAAGUGAGAUGGGGAAGAGCUAAGAUCUAGGUUUCGAUUUCCAUGGUGAUUAGAAGAAAGAACUUGUCUGAGAAGCUGAACCAUUAGUGCUGAUUUUGAGUAUUCUUUGGAAAACAGGCUAUUUGAGAGGACAGAGAGAAACAAUAACCGGGGGGUGGUUUUGUUGGGGCAGUGUUGUGUUGGUUUGUUUGGGUUUUUUUCAGAUUUGGUGACAUGAGUAGCUACAGUCUUGUCUGUGUGACACUGAGGGCAAAGCAAGAGAAUGGCCAAUACAAGACUCUAGCUAGAAAAAAAAAAAAAAAGAGAGGGUAAUAUAGCAUUAGUGACGUGAAUUUUCAGAAAACAUAUUCUUACACUAGUGUGGUUUUUAAUUAAAUGCUUAUUGCUAAUUAAUAGCACAGAUAUAGCAGGUUUUGUGUGACAGUUGACUUGAUGCAAAAUGACAUUUGAUUAAGAAAAUCAAAAUCAACAUGACACAUCAAGUGGGCUAGAGACUGAUAGGCCUCAGAAUGUAAUUGCAGAUAAGGCCAAAUACUAAAUAAAUGUUUCCAGCUUAUAGCAAUUAAAUAUCAACACAAAAGAGAACAGUUUCUUUUAUCCCACCCUCAAGAGCUUGACCCUGUGUUAUGCAGCAGUUUUGUCUAUGCUCUGAAAAAAAAAGGCACAAGAUGAUUACUGAACAAAUUUACAGAUUAGAGCAAUGAAAACAGGGAUCAGUGGUAGAAAGCAAUUUAGUUUGCCAGACAAAGAAGACUGGAACAAAGAUCCCCAUUUUUAAUAUAGCUAAAUGUAAGAAAACAUGCCUAAGCCCCACUUCCAGGCUGGCAGCCUCUCUUGAAAGCAGGUACUCUGAAAGGUCACUGUAGAAAAACAUUUGUAGGGAGCUUCAAGGGAGAUGCUGUAGGUAAAUAGGACCAUGGAGAUAAUUUUGCUUUCAUAUUUCCUCCAAAGCCAAAACUACACAAGUGAGGCUUCAGAUAACAGUUGAUAGCAGCUGGUGACAGAAACUCACAAUUAAAAAAACCCCAAACCAACCACUCCCCUAGAAAGCUGCCAAAAGUUUGAUUGAAACAGAAGUAAGGAAGUAUUUGGGCGUCUCAUGCCUUUCUUGAAGGUCAAAAGGGACAAAACUCAGGUAUCUGAGACAGGAAGCAAGAGAGACAGAUGCCAAUCCUACUCCAGUUCUCUGAGCCAAACACAAGCAUUCAAGCUCUCCUGCUUCUUCCUUUCAUACCUUGUCUUUGCAGAAUAUGCAGAGCAUUAAUAUUUAUGGCCUUAAAGGGAGCUACUCACACACAGUGAAAUGAAACAUCUUGCUUUCUUCAGCAAUUAAAUCCCACUGCUGCACGUCACAGCUUUUUUCAGCUGAGGUCCGGAAGUACAAAACCUCUUGGCAAGCAUUCUGCAAUGCCCCAGCAGGUGACAGUGCCAUGGCAGGGCAUGGCCAUGCCAACUGCACCCAGAACAUCUGCUGCUUUGGUCUGCUCACGAGUAUAUAGACAGGAGGAAGAAAAAGCCAAGAGGACAACUUAUCCUGGAUGGCUUUACAUCAAAACUCACGUCACCAUUCUUGGCUCUUUCAAUUUAUCCCUCCACCUUCCUAUAAAAUUGAAUUUGGAACAUCACAUGCAGCUGAACAACUGAAAGCCUGAAACACAAAAGCUCAAGAAACAUAAUAGGAAGUGCAGGAGCACACAGGAGCGUGUCAGAGCUGACGAAUUCCAGCCCUAGCUCCCAGUUCCCUGCCUGGGGUUCCCAAGUCCCCACCUGGCAGCACCUGUCACCCGUGAUUCUGGCCACCAUCACGCCAGGUACAACACUCCUCCAGCAGCCGGGAUCAAUCACGAGCUCUGGCACAAGAUCUUUGAAGCACACUGAGGGGAGAUUUCUGCCACAACAAGUGCUACACCACAGGACCACCUCAGACACCUCCAAGCCCAGUUUCUCCCAGCAGAGCCCCCUGCCCAUGAGCCAGGGCCCAGCUGCAGUGCAGAGGUUUGUGGUUCCCCUACCUGCCACCUUCCAACAUCAAUGCAUAGCUUCAAACUCCAAAGGGACACGCAAAAGAAAGCUGGAGGGACAGAGAGGAAUCAAUGUCAAAACAAACAAAUAGCUUUCAAGUGAUUUGGGACUCUAGAAAGGAGGGGUUGUAUUUUUAGCUGCACACAAGCAGCUCCAGGUGCUUUUCCUUUGUCCCCAUGACAGUAGGUAAGUGAACACACCUGCCUCACCUCGCGCCCCGCUGAUGGUAAACACGAGGUCUUGCAUUCAGGUUACAAUGUGGAGUCACUUCAGAGCAGCCCUGUGCCAAAAUAGCACAUUUCUGAGGGAUGCAAAGGUAUUCAAUAAAAAGCUUUUAAAGGCAUAUUUUUAAACUUGCAGCAGGAAAGCUUUUCUGUGUCAAGACAGUAAUUCUUUUAACAGCAUUGAUCAAAAUGUCAUUCUUUUAUGAGUGUACAAUACCUUUUAAUGGCAUACAACAAACCAUUAGGGUUCUACACCUCCGUGCAGCACAGAGCUUACUGGAAAAUCAGCACCACUGGCCAAAAGAUAGCCACUGGGUUUUCUCCCUUUCCUAAGGCAGAGUUUCUUCCAUUCUCUGCUGCACCCAAAUACCCACAAGUCAAGUGACCUCAAAAAAUUAAGUCAAACUUCUCACCACUUUCACCAGAGCUUUUUCCCCACAUGUUUUCUCAAAAAAUGCCUCUCAUAAACACAACAAAU
Zonotrichia albicollis (white-throated sparrow) is the source of this 7845-nucleotide long non-coding RNA. RefSeq lists it as uncharacterized. Lineage: Eukaryota; Metazoa; Chordata; Aves; Passeriformes; Passerellidae. The record is from RefSeq and is a predicted model, not a curated record.